This 675-nucleotide long non-coding RNA is filed under the name Glycine max (soybean). RNAcentral's name for it is "long non-coding RNA (GMAX_LNC003411)". Lineage: Eukaryota; Viridiplantae; Streptophyta; Magnoliopsida; Fabales; Fabaceae. The record is from RNAcentral.
CAGGAUGACGCUACAAACUCUACUUCUUGCACAAGAGUUUUACUUCAAGCACCUCAUUUCUAAAAAUGCAACCAUUCCUUUUUUAUCCAUAUACACCAAAUAAUUGCACACCAAACCACAUACCAUCUUUCUUUUCUUAUCUUUGUUUCCAUACAAAGCAUAUGUUGCAAAAGAUGAGACUCUGAUGUAGCUGGUAGCACUAUUUUCAGAUUCAGUCACUCAGAAAAAUUUCCAAAUACCAUCCACCUUAUUACAUGUAAAGAGAACAUGUGAACAAGUUUCUUUUUGUACAUGCCAAAGGGGACACAUACAUAAGAUCUUGAUCAACUAAAUGAACAAUCAUCUUCUUAAGGUUAUCCUUUGUAGGUAGUCUAUUUUUGAAAACCCUCCAAACAAAGUGAUUGACCUUUGAGGGAACUUUUAAAUCCCACAAAAAAGAGAACAGGUGCUCGUGUUGUAAACCCCAAGAGAUAAACCAUGUAAAGUCGUAAAAGCCGUGCUUAAACUAUACUUCCCACUCGGGUCUUCUUCCCACCACCAGUCGUCACUCCACCCAUAUGAUUAUGCAUAUUUGCCACCACUUCAUUCAAUUCUAAACCCAUCUACCACCCUCCAAAAAUGAGAGAGAGUAAUGGAUGUGAUAGGUGAUGUGAUUAAAAGAAAGAAAGAGAAAAA